CUUUUUUUUUUUUUUUAAUAACUUACUAAGUUGAAACCUUUGGUUGUUUUUGUGAAUGUAGGUUUUCUUAUAGAAUUUGUUGCGUCGAACGUAUCCUAAAUCCGACACCACUUGUGAGAAAUCAUUUUGAAUAUUAAUUUGCCUAAAAAUUGAAUAGAAAAGAGUUACCAUAUCCACAGACUCUAACUCAUUAUCAAAUGUUUCUUAGAUGCAUAUCAAUUUUUGAAAUGUUCAUUUCAUUUGGACUUAAUUCAUACGAGAUGAAUACAUGCAUCUUCUAAGAAAUAUCUACGAUGAGAGAUUGCGAAUUUAAAUCGUUCCUCAUUGGCUCGUUCCAAGAGACUUUUUAUUGCUCGAGGAAUAAACAUUUAUAGAAUAACUCGCUUAUAUAUCCCCUUGGGUGGUUCGUACUUAUGUUUAUAUCGUGUGACUCUUUGGAGACGGAUCUCGAAUAUGUCGGUCUCUUCUCAAAGCAACUCUUCUUCCUCUCUCUCUCUCUCUCUCUCUUUCUCUUCUAGAAAUCGUCACCGGAAGGCACGAUAAACAUCCAUGACACCGCAAAUGAAACGUAACGAUGUAUCGAGGGAACGUAGAGAGAUGAACGUCUCGGCGUAUAGUAUGAACUCUCCUUGUCUCUGGAUAAAGUCAUUGACGGAAUAGAUCGAAUUAUUGAAAAAUGUAGAUUCAAAGAGGAGAGGAAUGACAGACAUAUUCGAUAAAUUUUUUUAUAAUUGAAAACUAGAAUGAUGGAGAUAUUUCAGAUUUUAGGAUCGAAAGCCAAUGAUAUUUAAUAAAAAGAAAAAGAGCGAAAGAGAUAAGUACAGAUUCAAGAAAAAGGGAAAUGACGGACGUAUUCAAUAAAUUCUUUGAUAAUCGAAAACUAAAAUAUGACAGAAAUAUUGUAGAAUAUAUAAAAAUAGCGAUAAAAAGGAAACCUCAAAGUCUAAUAAUCCGAAGCAUUAUCCUAAUUACUGAAGUCUUUGAAUGUUCGGUCGGACAUACAUAUCUCUAUUGAUAAGCACGUCGAACGUCUCCAUCUCUUUCUCUUUGCACUGUUAAUUGGCAGCGAUGAAGACCACAGACUCCUUCGUUUCUCCGUAUAUCCGUCGUCAUUGAAAAGAAACGAGGUCUUUGGCUGGUGCCGUCAGCAUCGAUGCUACUGCUGCUGCAGUGGGUUUCAAGUUUCGAGGUAGACCGAGUGUCGACCAGGUGGAUGACCGCAGGUCGUUCGCAAGGGUUGAUGACUCGGCCGAAGGAAAAAUCCGGAAACGAGGGUGGAAGGCCCGGCAUAGUCGGCCGCCAUGGGUAAGUGCGUACGAGAGAGAAUGCGAGAGAAAAUAUACGUAUACGUAUAUAGGCAGAUACGUGUAUAUACCAAGACACAAGUUGAUGCAGACGUUGGGAGACUCUCGUAGAGUCGCCUCGAUCGGCGCUGCCUCCGCAUGGCACGCCAGAAAGACUGAGAGAGAAAGAUAGAGAACAGUUUUGCUGUCUCUUUUCUUCUCUCGUUACUCGUUUCGUCUCUCUCGGUCGGGCGAGUGCUCGGUCGGUCGGUCGGUCGGUCGCGCGUUUGCUAGCUACCUAGCUAGCUAGCUAGCUUGCUUUCUUUCAUCCCCCCAGAAGGAUGAUCCUCGACGGGGUGGAGCCACCCACGCCCACGCAGGCCAAGCAUAGGCCUACCCCAACGUAACUCGCAGAAGGCGAACCACGUGUGCAACGCUUUUCAUGGUUAGACGAGCUCUCGAUGUCAUCGUUGCCGACGACAGUGACGACGAUGAAGGAGUUGACCUGAUGGAUAAGGAGGAGGUGGGAAUAAGGUCAGGUCUAGUGGACACGGAGAUCGUGUCUAGCUUUGUGCUUCGAGUUUGAGGUGUCUCCGUUAAUCUAUGGGAGAUGUAUGAUGGAUGGUAGCUUUUUUAGUUUGAGACGAAUUGUUUUGUCAAUGAACUACGUUUAUGAAUUAAUUAAAGAUAUUAGCUUAUCAAUUGAGUUUCUACUCCAGGUAAAGCGUUAAGAAGAAUAUUCAGUUGAUUGUAUUUAAUCGAUUAAAUACCAGCUAUAAACAUUCAAUAUAUUAUCAAUUAUCCCGACUAUGACUUUAUAAUUUUCUAAGAACUCUAUAAUCAACAGAUAAACUAUAAAACUGUUUGAGAAAUAAUCGAUUAAUAAUAAUCAAUCAAUUCGAUGAAUUAUAUCAGAAAAGAUAAAUACAAAACCAAAGACUUGAAUAUUUCCCCAGACAGAGAAAACUAAUCGAAUUAAUAACGCCGUAUUAAACGCAGGAAAAGAGUUGAAGUUUGAAAAGCAUGUAAAAGGACAUAACGCACGGGGUCGUGCCACCUGUCUUUCGAAGUACUCUACUCGGUACGCUUCUAGCAUAAUGGAGAAAGCAAGAGAGAGGGAGGGAAAGAGAGAGGGGAGAGAGAGAGAAAGGAGCAAGACAGGCUCUCGUCGUACAAUGCCGGUUGGUAUCGAGUCCGAGAGACGAAGAGAAGAGCCGACAGGAAAUGCGAAGGGGCAAGGAGGACGUAUAGAAGAAGAAGAAGAAGAAGAAGAAGAAGCACAUCAUGGCCCAAGCUACUCCGCGGUAUUCCGCGAAGGCCGAUCUUCGAAAGACGAAGGGAGUAACGUGCUCGUAGGAUCGCAGACUUACGUACGAGUUUCAUUGAAAUUCGCAUGAUGCCUCGAAAACGAGAGAAGGCGUGGCUCGAACUAUCUUUUCCGACGCGAUGUCUCUUACACUCUUAAACGUUCCUUGCGCAUUGCAUUUUCUCUUUCUAUUAGAAUAUUAAGCCUAUCAAAAAAGUUUACUUUUUCAACGAAAGGAAUUUCAAAGUUUUCACAAAAAUACGAAGGAAAUUUCUAAUUGCAUUAAUAAAAAAUAGCUAAAAUUUUGAUACCCAAAGAACGCAUUAAUUUCAGAUAAAAAAAAAACAAAUCGGACAUAAAUGAUCACUGAAAGAUCUAAAGUUUCUUCUUCCAACAACGACAUAAAACUAUUGAUUGAUUGUUGAUCCGAUGAAAUGACUGCGCUACGUAAGAACAAUAAAAUAGUUUGAUGUAACAAACCUAUCAAGAUUAAAAUUUAGAAAAUGAAAGCUAAGAGUUAUUGUCCCAUAAUUAAUAAGCAGAUAAUUAAAAGAGAAAACUGUCUGGAAUUAUAAAUCGCA
Molecule: long non-coding RNA, 3170 nt
Organism: Vespula vulgaris
Lineage: Eukaryota; Metazoa; Arthropoda; Insecta; Hymenoptera; Vespidae
Exons: 3
Source: RefSeq, a predicted model, not a curated record